Molecule: ribosomal RNA, 401 nt
Filed under: uncultured bacterium
Lineage: Bacteria
Description: bacterial SSU rRNA
Rfam family: Bacterial small subunit ribosomal RNA
Source: RNAcentral
GAGGGAUAUUGGUCAAUGGGCGCAAGCCUGAACCAGCGACGCCGCGUGGGUGAAGAAGGUCUUCGGAUCGUAAAGCCCUUUUCCCACUGAAGAGGAAGGACGGUAGGUGGGGAAGAAGUCUCGGCUAACUACGUGCCAGCAGCCGCGGUAAAACGUAGGAGACAAGCGUUAUCCGGAGUUACUGGGCGUAAAGGGCGUGCAGGUGCGUCUUAAGUCUGUUGUGAAAGCGCCUGGCUUAACCGGGCGAGGCCAAUGGAGACUGAGAGGCUGGAGGACGGCGGAGGGGUGUGGAAUUCCGGGUGUAGUGGUGAAAUGCGUAGAGAUCCGGAGGAACACCAGAGGCGAAGGCGGCACUCUAAGCCGUACCUGACACUGAGACGCGACAGCACGGGGAGCAAACG